RNAcentral lists this ribosomal RNA (468 nucleotides) under uncultured bacterium. Its description in RNAcentral is "partial 16S ribosomal RNA". It matches the Rfam family "Bacterial small subunit ribosomal RNA", at positions 28 to 507 of the family's 1533-position model. The record is from RNAcentral.
GACGAACGCUGGCGGCGUGCUUAACACAUGCAAGUCGAACGGAAAGGCCCUGCUUUUGUGGGGUGCUCGAGUGGCGAACGGGUGAGUAACACGUGAGUAACCUGCCCUUGACUUUGGGAUAACUUCAGGAAACUGGGGCUAAUACCGGAUAGGAGCUCCUGCUGCAUGGUGGGGGUUGGAAAGUUUCGGCGGUUGGGGAUGGACUCGCGGCUUAUCAGCUUGUUGGUGGGGUAGUGGCUUACCAGGGCUUUGACGGGUAGCCGGCCUGAGAGGGUGACCGGCCACAUUGGGACUGAGAUACGGCCCAGACUCCUACGGUAGGCAGCAGUGGGGAAUAUUGCACAAUGGGCGGGAGCCUGAUACAGCAACGCCGCGUGCGGGAUGACGGCCUUCGGGUUGUAAACCGCUUUCGCCGUUGACGAAGCGUGAGUGACGGUAAUGAGUAAAGAAGCACCGGCUAACUACGUG